GAUCAACGCUAGCGGCGUGCCUAAUGCAUGCAAGUCGAACGAUGUAGCAAUACAUAGUGGCGGACGGGUGCAUAACACGUGGGUAUCUGCCUUUAGGUACGGAAUAACUCAGGGAAACUUGAGCUAAUACCGUAUAAUAUCUCUGGAUCAAAGAUUUAUCGCCUAAAGAUGAGCCCGCGGCAGAUUAGCUAGUUGGUGGGGUAAUGGCCUACCAAGGCGACGAUCUGUAGCUGGUCUUAGAGGAUGAUCAGCCACACUGGGACUGAGACACGGCCCAGACUCCUACGGGAGGCAGCAGUGGGGAAUAUUGGACAAUGGGGGCAACCCUGAUCCAGCUAUGCCGCGUGAGUGAUGAAGGCCUUAGGGUUGUAAAGCUCUUUUAGAUGGGAAGAUAAUGACGGUACCAUCAGAAAAAGCCCCGGCUAACUUCGUGCCAGCAGCCGCCGUAA
RNAcentral lists this ribosomal RNA (449 nucleotides) under uncultured bacterium. Its description in RNAcentral is "partial 16S ribosomal RNA". It matches the Rfam family "Bacterial small subunit ribosomal RNA", at positions 28 to 523 of the family's 1533-position model. The record is from RNAcentral.